RNAcentral lists this ribosomal RNA (252 nucleotides) under uncultured bacterium. RNAcentral's name for it is "partial 16S ribosomal RNA". It matches the Rfam family "Bacterial small subunit ribosomal RNA", at positions 524 to 776 of the family's 1533-position model. The record is from RNAcentral.
UACGGAGGAUGCGAGCGUUAUCCGGAUUUAUUGGGUUUAAAGGGUGCGUAGGCGGGCAUUUAAGCCGGCGGUCAAAUGUCGGGGCUCAACCCCGGCCUGCCGUCGGAACUGGGUGCCUUGAGUGGGCGAGAGGUAUGCGGAAUGCGUGGUGUAGCGGUGAAAUGCAUAGAUAUCACGCAGAACCCCGAUUGCGAAGGCAGCAUACCGGCGCCCUACUGACGCUGAGGCACGAAAGUGCGGGUAUCGAACAGG